GCGGAGUAGCGGGGGGAGGGAGAGGAAGCAAAGAGAGUGCAAGAGAAAAAUCAAACUUGGGUACCAAAUUAUAGAUCAGUUAGUGGCGGGGGAGAAGACAUAAUUAGUGACAGAGUCUGGACGCCCCCGCCUCCCCCCGCACUGGGGGCUGACUGAGUGGGCAAGGGAGGCAGGGCGGGGAGCUAGGCGAGCUGGAGCGGUGCAGGGCUACCCCCUCCUUCCCACCCCGCAGCCUCAGCGCAAAGCUACAGCGCGGCUGCGGAGGAGAAGCAGCAGCGGCAGCUACCUGGGAGCAGGCGGAGCCGUAAAGGAAGUAGCUGAGGCUGAGAACCUGAAAAUAGCGAAUCCCUAGCGGCGUCCCUCGAGCUACACUGACCCCAGCACGCAGGGCUUGCUGCAAACUGUUUUCAACUCCCCUCAUUCAAUCCACCAGCAGCCAGAGGCCUAUGAAGCUCUGUCAUUUCAUGAGAUUCAGCCACACAUACCUGAAGCCAUAUAUACCUCUCAAACCGGGGCAAUGGUUCCUUGCUUCAGAGGUUGCAAAAUUGUCGUGGGAAGUAUACAAAUCCAUGUUUGGAGCUCAGGAUCUCCUCCUUCACAGCCCCAUCAAGCAACAAGAAUGUUUUAAAAGUAGGAUCAGAGGGUUGAAUUUUGGGAGGGGGAUGCAAAGAAAUGAUGAACGAUGUUAACUUUUGACUGCAGGAGUCAUGAUAGAGUUGAGUGAAGCUUCAGGGAAAUAAAUCAUUUAAUCCCAGAGCUACCGAAGUCACCUUUUCAAACAUUUUGAGGCUUGAAAUCAUACUGCUGUAAAAGCGACAGAGUACUUAAAAGUAUCAAAUAUCAAGAAAUGUAGCUAUAUUAGGAAUGGAUCCAAAAUGAGAAAAAAAUAACCACGCGAUCAUGAAAAUAUCAACCAGAUUAUAUCUCCCAAGGAAAACAACAACAACAACAACAACGGCAUCAGCAAAAUUGUAGCGCUUGCAUUCACUAAAGGAGAAUAGACAGCAUGUGCAUGUUUGUGUGAAAUGCCAAAAAGAGCAGCCUUAAGCUUGACCUACUGCAAUCUGCACUGAGCUCCUCAGACAAUAGACAAGUUCAAAUGUCAAAAAAUCUAAUAAUAAAAAACAGAGCUGCCAAACUGCACGAACUGUUUUCUGGUGUACCAUAAUUAUUCACCCUCUUAUCCACUAAGAGACUGCCAGUCUUAUGCGCGUAAAAGAAAAUCUAUGUAAUGCAUAUAGAUUUUUUUUAAAUGUGAAACGCGAUUGAGAUUGCCAGCAAGCAAAUCAGAAUAUGUCUAAUAAAAGCAGGGCUAAGGUUUCCACAGCCUUGGAAAGAGGCUAACUUGUAAAUCCUUUUUUUAUGUUGCUACAUGUUCAAUUAUUCUUAUAAAUAAAAAUCUGCAUGUUCGAGGAGCUAGGUUGUAACUAUCUAUGCGGAGAAUUUUAAGGGAGGUGGUGACAUUAAGCUUCAUAUGCAAUGUGUCUGCAUGGAACUCAAACCAGCAGAUAGAUUAUUGCAUUCAUUUGAGAACUUUCAUUACUAUGCAUGUUAGGUGCACCUAAACACAGUAGAGUGUAUAAUAUCAGAAAUGUGCUGUUCUAAACGUACCUAUAUUUUCAAAUAGAUCUUAAUUGUAUGUGUAGUACUGUGUUAUAUUACUAAUUUUUUACAGAAUCAGAAAUUAUUUAUUACCUUAAACAAUAAAUAAGGUCCAUACUGGAAUCUUCACAAUUAAAUGUAUGGAUAAAAGAUCAUCCUGCCUAUUGUUUAUCUCCUUGUUACUGUAAGCCUUUAAAAGUAAUAUGUCUAUUUUCCUCUUUUCUCCAAAUUGGCUGGUGUAAUAUCUCUUGUCCAGCUAUCAACGGUUAUAUGAACUACUAUAUGGGUAAGGUUUAAAAACAGAGCAAAUCACAUUAUCUGGGAAUGCUACAAAUCUGGAAUCCAGUCAACUCCACCUUUUCAUCUGACUUCUGUAUUAUAAGGGAAAACAUUUUACAUAUAGCAUACUGUAUAUGUAGCAUGUCUUUGUUUAACAUUUUAAUUUGUAAAUGCUAAUUAGGCAGUUGCUCUCCACAAUUAUAUUAUUACACACCUAAUCAUUCUCAAAUAUAAGUAGAUGAAUACUAAAUACAGUAAAUAGUAUUUCCCAAUACCUCGGCACUGUUCUUCAUUUUGCAAAUGAGUCUUUCCGGACAAAAUAAUUAAAACAACAAAAACAACAAAAACAAAAAACCCUUUGUAGCUUUGUUUUAAUUGUUCUGGCACUUAAGGCAUAAACGUGGCGGUCACAUCCAAAUAAUAUGUUUAACAGCCAGCAUGGAAAGUAACUCUAUCGAAUUAACUUGUUGCUCGUUUUAAGUGUUAAUGUUUUCUAUUUGCUUUUAUUCGCUUCUAUGUAUACAGACAGUGAGUCAUACAGGGAUAAGACUGAGGAGUUGACCUACUAGAAUUGUUUUUUUGGACUAUAAAUUCAAGUUGCAUUUGAGGUAGAAAAAAGACAAAGCACGAACUGCACGAAAAUGCAAUAUUUUUCAAAUGUGGGAUAUUAACCAUCACUGGCCUCUCUAAACUCAAAAUCCCAUGGUCAUAUGUCCAAAAACUGUUUGAUAAACAAUGGUAAAUCCAAGACUAUGUGGUGACCCUUGUGAAGAAAAUUGCACUAUAGAUAUGUACCCUAAUAGUCUGGGAAAUAGUCAUUGCUUUAGUGGGUAAAUGCGGUAUGGUGGGAAGUUUUAGUCAUGUAAAUAUCUCCAUGCAUUUUCAGUCAUCUUCAAUACACGGCAAGGCUUAACUCAGUUGUGAAAGUGAAGGCAUGUGAACACUUUGCACAUGGCAAAAAGAGAAAUGUCUAUUUUUUCAUUGUUUCUUUUGCUGUUUACUUCUCUCUAUUAUGCUUUUUGAACAGUGACUUAGCUUUCCACCAGAUACCACAUUUAUGGGCAAUACUAUUUCCAGGAUGUAAUUGGUCUUUAUACUGUAAAGACAAAGAAUAAAACUUGCAGUCACACUGAAACUGACGAAGUUCUAGUUGGAGAGAACAACCUGUCUUCAGGGCCUGGCAGAGUUUGUUAUGAUUAUGCAUCAAGCGUGCGCCUGCCCCACCAGCGCUCCCUGGCACUUCCACUUUUACAGGUGUUUAGCUGGUGCUAAAUGAAUGUUAACUUGCUGGUGUGUAUAUAGAUAUACAGAUAGACCUUCAUAAGAACAAACAUAUGUAUUUAUCAAUAAAAUCACAGAAGUAAAUUGGUUACUUAUGUGUCCCAUGCAGCCACCUAGAAAAAGAAAUAACAAGAAUGGGCUCCUUGAGCAAUAUGUUAAGACUAUGCACAAUGUGUUUGCAAAACGACAGAAAAUCUAUGCAGACACCGAAGUUAAGAUUGUUUUAUGUCUGUAAAUAUCUACAGCUGGAACUUCUUGUGUAAUUUUUGCAUGUGUCUACUGAUACGGACUUCAGAUUAUUUAGAUUGUUAACAAUGUUAUUUUAUAGCUACAUUCGAGAUAGUGAAGUAAUUGAAAGAGAGUGAGUGGCUACUUUAUUGGGAAUAUUGCAAAUACUUCUGAAGAUUUAAAA
Long non-coding RNA from Gopherus flavomarginatus (Mexican gopher tortoise), 3574 nucleotides. RefSeq lists it as uncharacterized. The transcript has 4 exons. Lineage: Eukaryota; Metazoa; Chordata; Testudines; Testudinidae. The record is from RefSeq and is a predicted model, not a curated record.